Molecule: unclassified non-coding RNA, 308 nt
Organism: Mesocricetus auratus (golden hamster)
Lineage: Eukaryota; Metazoa; Chordata; Mammalia; Rodentia; Cricetidae
Gene: 7SK
Rfam family: 7SK RNA
About the family: 7SK was discovered as an abundant small nuclear RNA in the mid-70s but a possible function has only recently been suggested. Two independent studies have found that 7SK RNA binds the CDK9/cyclin T complex (known as elongation factor P-TEFb). P-TEFb activates transcription by phosphorylating the C-terminal domain of RNA polymerase II.
Source: Ensembl
GGAUAUGAGGGUAAUCUGGUGUGACAUCUGUCAUCCCAUUGAUCACCAGGGUUUAUUUGGCUGAUCUGGCUGCCUAGGUCAGUGUCCCCUUCUUCCUUCAGAGCUCUAUGUAAGUCCCCCCAGAAGCUGCAUGCUCAGUUGAAGAGGAUGACCUUCCUUGAACAGAGCAGGACUGGUCUUUAGUCAAGGGUAUAGGAGUACCUAUGCUCCCCUGCUAGAAUCUCCAAACAAGCACUCAAGAUCCUGAAUGUCUUGAUGUGACUCAAAGCCAUUAAAGUAAAUUGUGGCCACUAGGGUUUAAGAAAUUU